Molecule: long non-coding RNA, 7105 nt
Organism: Meriones unguiculatus (Mongolian gerbil)
Lineage: Eukaryota; Metazoa; Chordata; Mammalia; Rodentia; Muridae
Exons: 2
Source: RefSeq, a predicted model, not a curated record
CCUCUCCCUCUUUCCCCUCCUCUUCCCCUUUCUUUCUUUCCGUUCCUCUUCCACUCUGCCACUUUAUCUCUCCCGGUAGCUCUCCCUCCACCACUCUCUCCCUCUCUCCUUGGCAGAUCUUCCCCCGCGCUGCCCAGGGACGCAGACCUCGUUUUGCGGAGGUGGGAAACCAGUGGAACUGAGUGCUUAAAACUCUGAAAGAGGCUUCUGCAAGGGCCCACAAUUCUGCUUGCUGGCUUUAAAGGAACUCCCUAGAAAGGCAAGCUCAGGCGCGGGAGGAGCUGCUCAGGGCAGGACCACUCCCUUGGUAGCAAAGGGCCCUCCCAGCAAAAGAGAGGGGAGGGUGGGGUGGAGGUAGUUGUGACAGCCUGCGUGCUGGGCUGAGGGGCCAGCAUGCUUGCUCCUGUCCUCAAAAAAAAGUACUUCUUAUGCUUUAACAGGCAAAGAUCCUGAGGGUGAGGAUGUUACAGAUAGCUGGAAACCCAUUUCAAUGUCUCUCGUACUCCGACUGCUCCAGGUGGAAGGUCUGUUAAUAGAGAAGCCACUCCUGUGUUUGCUGCGCGUCAGUGUUGGGGGAGGGGAGCGGUCACAGGACAACUCCUGGGAGUCAUCUCUCUCCUUUCCAGGGCCCAAAUUAAGUUCUUUAGGCUUGGUGGCAAACACAUGACCUGCUCCCCACUUGAGGUCUCAAAUAUGUUUUUCUUGUUCUGUCUUGUUUUUCUCAAGUAGAACAAUCUCGGAGCUAUCUAGUGCACAAAACCAUUUUUUUUAAAAAAGAUACCGACAGAAAAAACAUAGAGAAAAGAAAAAAAAAAUGAGGAAGGGAUGGAGAGAUGGCUCAGCAAUUAAGAGCCUGGACUGCUCUUUCAGGGAACUCCAAGAAGUUCCCAGCACCCAUAGCUGGUGGUUCUGUGACACCUACAUUUAACUCCAGCUCCAGGGGAUCCGAUGCCCUCUUCUGGACUCCACAGGCGCCUACACUCAAACAUGUUCAUUCACACAUAACUAAAAUAAAUAAAUUAAUUAAAUUAAAAAAAAAAACUUUAAAAAAAGUAACUUGAAAAAUCCAUCUGGAAGGGGUGUCAACAUGGAAUCCCAGGAUAUAGAAGGCUAAAACCGGAAAAAUGCUGCAAGUGAGACACCAGCCCGGGACACAUUGGGGCUACGGGGAGGAAGGAAAAGUGCAACCCCCAUCUCCAGUGCACAAGUGUCAUUACCCAACAGUUGUUUAUUGUGUGUGGUAAAUUACACUAUUUGCUGAGCUUCCUUUAAGAACAGUUUCGGAGCUGGGAAGCCCUGCUGGUGAAACACACCCACAAUGAACAAAGCCCGUCCAUUAUUAAUGAUUGCCUGAUCGUACACCACAGAAUGUGGCAUUUGGAAAACCACGCUCACUUCACUGGCAGUUUGUACAGAAGAAUUCUCAGUCUGUUCAGCAGAUUCAAAUGAUGCUGGAGUAAAAUAAAUGUCAACUCUUGCUCAGCUUAUAUGGUGACUAUUUAGGUGUCAUUUGACUCUCACAAAUAAUAAGAAACUGAUCCCAUCUCAAUUAUCUCGGUGCUCCAGCUUACAGUGUGUUUAUAGCCUUGAGUACUUGGAUAAUUGCCCCAAAAUGCCACUGUGUUUUGUACGUAGAGAUAAAGCAAUAAAAUAUGCCAAGAGGAGACGAAUGAAAUAAGUAGAUUCAUGGGGGCAGUGGGAAAUACGGCUUAAGUUGUAGAUUUCUUUUUAUGGGAAACAGCCUACUGCAGUCCCAGCUGGGUACUCACAAAGCAUUAGGCAUAAAUGAACAGGAGGGGGUGUGACCAGACAGCCAGCUCCUCGCUGUCACUUGUCCAGAACUGUGCCACUGCCCAGGAGCAUGUGUUGGGCAGAUAGUCAGUGGCAGUACCACCAUCUGUCUAAUAAUUAAGAAAACAGGAGAAGCAACGCCUUGGCGGAAGACAAAUGAGCCCCCUAGUAUGCGCACACACUUACCAUGAGUUUCCCAACUACCCAUGAUUCAUAAGCCAGAACUAGUGAAAAACCUGCUGCCUCUUAACAUGGGAAAAGCAUAUUAAAUCAAGAAGCUGGGCAUAUGUUGUUAAGCGUGGGGUUGGGGGAGCAGAGUGGAGGAUGAAAAAAAUAUUUCCAUUUUCUCUGUCUUCAACCCACACCCAUCUUAGUUUGGGGGAAAAAUAAUGACAUAUGAUCAUCAAAACAGAGCUCUUACAAGAUUGAGAGUGGACAUUGUUUGAAAGCUGACAUAGAUGGACUGGUGAGAUCUCAGCAGGUAAAGACACUUGCUGUGCAAAGCCCCAAUGACUAGAACCACAUAAAGAGGAAAAGAGAAACCCAACUCUACAGAGUUGUUUCUGAUUGCCACACAUGCACAUGGCAGAUGAAUGCAUAUACACAUGCAAAUCUCUUUCACAUACAAUAAUAAUUACUACUACUAAUAAAGUGUUGUAGUUAAACACAUUGUCACCAACAGUAGCAAAACAUCACUGGCUGUCUGUGUUGAUGGCAUCUUGUGGCUGGUCAAUAGUGUAAAAGAAACAAUGUCCUGGCACCUGGCCUUCUCCCUACUUUUAACAAAAAUCACAAUCAGAAAGUUAUCUGCCCCACCAAAAGAAUAGAAGGUCCAUUUCUUUUCUGCCUAUUACCAUCCAGAAACCCAAGGAAAGUGAAAAAACCAGCCAGAUGCUCUUGUUUGAGACAGACAGACAGCUGCAGGGACAGACAGGAUGAAGUAAAAGAAGUCGAAAAGCAAUUAUCAAAACAGUGAGUUAAAUGACACAGGCUACAGUAUAUCCAACAGGUUUGAAGCAGCCAGAUAUGAACACUGCCCUUUGAGGCAGGCAGUGACCAGUCCUGAUUCAGGAAAGUGAACACAGCCAAUGGACAAGAUAAAAGGUUAUCCACAUAUAGAUAAUAGAAGAAAAUGUCAGAAAGCCCUCCACUCACCCAGGUCCAACCAGUGUGCUUUGAUUAGUUCUUUGUGAAAAGCCUUUGCACUUUGCCAAAUAUAGUUAAACUUAAGGGUAUUCUGCUGUAGUGUCUCAAUAGUUUUCACUCCUCAAUAUGGCUUCAUUUGUUCUGUCCUAUCUCACUGACCUCCAUGCAUUUCAAUGAGUUAACGAUAAGUGCCUAAAAUAAAGUGCCUUAGUGUCCAGCCCCCUUCCUCACCACUCUUCCACCUACAGUACUCACUCUCUCCUCCAUCUUCUCUCAUCCCUAGAAAGAACAACAUCUACCCAGCUGCCAGAGUCCACAAAGGAGUCACUGCCCUUGCCUCUUCUUUGAUUAGCUUACAACACUUUCGAUCUAUUAACAAAAGCACUUGCUUCCAUGUCUAAAAGAUAACCUGAAUCAACCAAUCUCUCUCUCUCUCUUUCUCUCUCUCUCCCUCUCUCCCUCUCUGCAUCAAUUUACAGCAACCAAACAAAAGUUCAUCAUCAUCUCUGGCUCAGACAGUUGCAGUAAAUAACUGGUCUUGCCUUCCUUCUUAUAGUUCAUUUUCUAUGGAACAGAAUAAUAGUUCAAAUAUAUGAAUUGAAUGAUGGUGCCUCUCCUGCUUAAAACCAUGCACGAUUCUUCACUGCACUGCAGACUCCAAAAGCCCCUAGAUAAGCUACAAAGUCCUCCAAGAUCUUCCCAGCAGCUCUCUGACCUCUUCCUGUUUUAGCAGUCCUAUUGCGCUUCUGCUGCCCCAACUGUUUCAAUGCUCUCCAUUCACAAAGUGGACUCCAUGCUGCCCACCAGUCUAGACAGUAACUGCAAAGGGUUACCACAGAGGAGCAGAAAGGCUAAAUGUUAAUUAUUUAAAAUGUAAUAGAUUUGUUGACUGGUGGCUCCAGGUGUUGCUUUUAACAAAAUCUCAAUCAUUCCAUUUUACCAAUAAAGACUCUGGUACCAGAGUGGAGUGAAAGCCUGAUAGCUCAGAGAGGCAGAGAAAGCAACCAGCUGACCUUCCUCCUCAGUAAACGACUCCCCUUCUCCAUGUCUUCUCAAAACCCCUCAAACUCAAUAUCCCUCCCUUCUAUUUCCUGUGUGUCUCUCUAUGUGUCUUCCUGACUUCCUCUUACUCUCUAUAGUUUUUCUCUAUGUUCAUUCCCUGCCAUCUGGUUGCUUGCUUCAUCUCUUGACCUAUGGUCGACUUUAUUUAAUCUUAUCUUGGAUUAAAGGUGUGUGCUAGGGUUGAGCCACACCACAGCCAGAAAAACGGCUUUUUUCAGCAAAUAAUGUAAUCUCAAGGUUCACAGUAUGAUCAGAUAUCUUGAUAUCAGAUAUCUGAUAUCUUCAUCCAAACAUGAAAACUAUGUGCUUCAUAUCUCCAGCCAUGCUUCUAGUCUUCCAUACCUACUAAAAUGACAGGGAUUUGGUAGCUAAAGGUUUUCCCAUGCUGGCUCCUUCUGCAUCAGUUCUGGCUUCAAGCAUUAUUUUUUUAUUCUCUAAGAAAGGUUGGUUCUAGAGAGCUGUGACAAUCUGGCAAAAGCAACUAAAGGGAGAAGGAUUUUUAUAAAAGCAACUUUUAUUUGCCUGAUUUGUCAUCUCCGAGGGUUACUGCCUCUGUCUGCUAACCUAGGCCUAACCUAGCCUGGAAACUUCUAGACUCCAUACAAUCUAAUCUAGGCCUAGAAAUUUUUCAGUUGCUAAGACUCUUACUGCAGAAUAAAUUUACCCUUUUUAAUUCUGUCUGAACUCUGACUGGCUGGUUCAACUCAGCUGUUCUGGUUCAAGCUCCUCUUCAAGCUGACUGAUUGAAACUGGCUUCUCUUGGCUUCUGGCUGAAUUACUCUGCUUGGCCUCAUACUAACUUUGGCAAUCUGUUCUAAUCUGUCACCUUCUCAUUCCCUGGUUCAUCUGUCUUCACCAGUAUCUAGCUUGUUCUCUCUUCAACCUGUCUCUGUAAAACUCUCCACAUAAAAAUGCCUCUGACUUCCACAAACUGAACUGCCACAAAUUCAGUUCCACUGCACGGCCUCUCAACUCACUGACUCAACUGUACUACCUGAACAGAACUGACUAGAACUCAGAGCUCUGCAAGCCUUGGUCUCCUAGGUGCUGGGAUUAAAGGUGUGUAUCACUAGGCCUAGACCAAUGCUUUUCUUUACUGGAAAUUUGCUCUAUACUAGCCUGGCCUAGAACUCAGAGAUCUGCUUGCCUCUGUCUCCUGGGACUAAAGGUAUACCUGUAUUCCAGCCAGAUCAUACAGACCUAGAAGGUCUUUGGAUGUGAUCUCUUUCCACAGCAGCCAUGUUCUGAAUUAAAAUCCCUCCUCUACGGAAGUUUAUUUUGACUCACUGUUUGAGGUGGUGCAGUUUGUCAUGAUGGGAAAAACAUGUCUACAAGAAGGGCUCAAGCUGUGAUGAAAAAAGUGUGAGAUGGAUGGUGAUGAGAUGGAUGCCAUAAUCAUGACCUGGGAAGAUGAGUGCAGAUGCUCAACUGGCUUUUCCCUUUUAUAUUUCGGCUGGGAACCCACGCCAUGGGAUGGUACCACGCACAUGCUGAGUGGAUUUUUCCUUCUCAGAACCUCUUGGCGGUAUCCUCACAGACACACACAGAGUUUACCCUCCUAAGUGAUUCCAGAUCCAGUCAUGUUGACAGAGAAUAUGGCCAUAAUACUUUUCAAAAAGACAUCAGGGUAUCCCAUGUGCAUGCAUAUUAGCCAUUUAGUAUUGCACUGUUUUGUUAUAUUCGUACUGAUUGUCUCUCUAUAAAAUGGUUUUCUUCAUUUACCUGCUUUCUUGUUUAUUGUUUGCUCUUGGUUACUAGAGUAUAGGGAGACUUUGCUCUGAACCUCCAAAUACCAGACAAGCAAAUGGCACACAGUAAAAACUCACUUAAUAUUCAACACACAAGUGUUUGAUGAAUAAAAGCACAGUGGAAUUACAGGAGAAAAAGAAACUCAAAUGUACCAUGUUGAAAGGUCCCAUGUUAAAGACCAUCCAUGGGUGUUUACACAUUUACAUAUAUACAUGUUUAAGCUAAUUGUUUGCAUGGGCAGAUGCCUCUCAAUUUUUCCUUGAAAAUUCUGUUCUGAUGAGUAUACUCAUGGGUAAAAUCACGCAAACAGCACUUCCCAUAAAGCGGCUUUAAAAAUAUGUAUUGCUCUCCUAAAUUACUCAUCUCUUAGAGAAAUAAACAUUGGCCAAAGUUUUAAAAACUUAUAUAUGGACUACCCAUAGUCUUUUUUAUUAUAGGCAUGGGGAUGGGUGAAUAAAAUAUACUUGCUACCUUUGGGUAGCAAGUAAACUGGGAAAUUCAGAAAUAGAUUUUUGAAUAUAAAUGACUGUAAAGCCUUAUUUCACAUUGUUUUCUGCUGUUGUGGGAACUGAAUUUAACAGACAUAACUGUUUUGUUAAGAUAGGUCUUACUAAUACUUCCAAAUACAGUGAGGAAAAACCAGAGAAUGCUUGCAUCUGGGGAUUCACUACUGGCUUUCCAGGCAGAGCUGUCCCUCCAGUUUCCAAACAAUGUAAGUAAUGAUUUUGUGUAUGCAGCUAUUAAUAAGCUCAAAACCCUCAAGCAGGAAAGCAAGCUGUGAAGAGCUAGCACGGACCUAGUCAGGGUUACAGGCAACUACAUCCAACCACGGGCACACCACUGGACACUGCCUCUUCUGUACCCUGGAAAACAACCUGUGGGCUGAAGCUCUUAUGAACUGUAAAGGACGCUAGUACAAUGGUCUCAGAGCUCCCCAAUCUUGACCACUUUGUGGCACAUGCAGAAUAUUAUAAUAAUUUUAAGUGAAUUUGACCUUAUGAUUUUAUUGUCGUCCUGUCAAAGUUGUCUUAGACACGUGACCCUUCUCUUCUUCUUGCCUCCCAGUUCAAAUUGUUUCUAUCUCUUAACAGCAAGUCUCAUAAAGCUGCAGGAAAGCUCAGAAGUCUCAUCAAUAAUGCCAAUAACCUCAGUAUCUCUUUCCUCUGGAUUUGCAUGUAUUGUAAUUCUCAAAAAGAACUGAAGUCUUGUGUAAUAAUAUAAAUAAAUAAUAUGCAGGUUGUUAGCGUCUCCAAAGUAAUGGUAAAUUGUUUGGUUUUGUGAACAGCUUGAUUUUAACUUAUUCUUGUCCUAACUAAUAGGAAAAAAAAGAUAAUAAAACAUAAGUGUUGGUAAGAGC